Molecule: long non-coding RNA, 337 nt
Filed under: Musa acuminata (dwarf banana)
Lineage: Eukaryota; Viridiplantae; Streptophyta; Magnoliopsida; Zingiberales; Musaceae
Description: long non-coding RNA (MACU_LNC009542)
Source: RNAcentral
AGAAGAGAAGAAAAGAAGAAAGAAGAGGGAAAAGAAGAGAUUAGGAAGAAGAGGGAGAAGAGAAGAAAAGAAGAAGAAGAAGAAGAGAGGGAAGAUGAAGAGGAGAGAGAGAGAGGCAGCAGCUGCAGCUAGGGCUGCAGCACCUCUGUUUCCACCCUAGCUGCAGCACCUCUGUUUCCACCAGGUGGAAACAGAGGAGAGGAUGUGUGGGGCGUUGGGGAGGAGAAGGGAAGAAGAAGAAGAAGAAGAAGAAGAAGAAGAAGAAGAGAGGAGGAUAGCUGCGGCAAGGCUGCAGCGAGGAGGUGUGUGGCGUUGGGGAGGAAAAAGGAAGAGGNNN